UACGUAGGGAGCAAGCGUUGUCCGGAAUCAUUGGGCGUAAAGCGCGCGUAGGCGGCCCUGUAAGUCCGUUGUGAAAGUCAAAGGCUCAACCUUUGAAAGCCGAUGGAUACUGCAGGGCUAGAGUCCGGAAGAGGCGAGUGGAAUUCCUGGUGUAGCGGUGGAAUGCGCAGAUAUCAGGAGGAACACCGGUGGCGAAGGCGGUUCUCUGGGCAUUACCUGACGCUGAGGAGCGAAAGUGUGGGGAGCGAACAGG
RNAcentral lists this ribosomal RNA (253 nucleotides) under uncultured bacterium. Its description in RNAcentral is "partial 16S ribosomal RNA". It matches the Rfam family "Bacterial small subunit ribosomal RNA", at positions 524 to 776 of the family's 1533-position model. The record is from RNAcentral.